GAUGCAUUAUUAAAUAUUCAGGGAACUGAGACUGCACCCUGUCUGUCGGGCAAGGAUGCAUUCAUAUUGUAUGACACCUAUGGAUUUCCAGUGGAGAUAACAAAGGAAGUUGCUGAAGAACGUGGAAUCAGUAUAGAUAUGAAUAGCUUUGACAUAGAAAUGGAGAAGCAAAGACAGCUAUCUCAGGCUGCACAUGAUACAGUUAAACUAGCAGUUGAAAAUGGUGCAAACCAUGCUGAAGAUAUCCCUGAUACUGAGUUUCUUGGUUACAAUACUCUCCAUUCCAAGGCAGUGGUUGAGGGUUUGUUGGUAAAUGGUAGUCCUGUAACACAAGUCUCCAAAGGAGGUGAAGUUGAAAUUUUGCUGAACAGGACUCCA
Molecule: unclassified non-coding RNA, 378 nt
Filed under: Hevea brasiliensis (rubber tree)
Lineage: Eukaryota; Viridiplantae; Streptophyta; Magnoliopsida; Malpighiales; Euphorbiaceae
Source: RNAcentral